GAUGAACGCUGGCGGCGUGCCUAAUACAUGCAAGUCGAGCGAACAGAUGAGGAGCUUGCUCCUCUGACGUUAGCGGCGGACGGGUGAGUAACACGUGGAUAACCUACCUAUAAGACUGGGAUAACUUCGGGAAACCGGAGCUAAUACCGGAUAAUAUAUUGAACCGCAUGGUUCAAUAGUGAAAGUCGGUUUUGCUGUCACUUAUAGAUGGAUCCGCGCCGCAUUAGCUAGUUGGUAAGGUAACGGCUUACCAAGGCAACGAUGCGUAGCCGACCUGAGAGGGUGAUCGGCGACACUGGAACUGAGACACGGUCAAGACUCCUGAGGGAGGCCGCAGUAGGGAACCGUACGCAAUGGGCGAAAGUCUGACGGAGCAACGCCGAGCGAGUGAUGAAGGUCUCCGGAGCGUAAAACUCUGUUAUUAGGGAAGAACAAAUGUGUAAGUAACUAUGCACGUCUUGACGGUAACUAAUAAGAAAGCAACGGCUAACUACGUG
Molecule: ribosomal RNA, 497 nt
Filed under: uncultured bacterium
Lineage: Bacteria
Description: partial 16S ribosomal RNA
Rfam family: Bacterial small subunit ribosomal RNA
Source: RNAcentral